RNAcentral lists this long non-coding RNA (343 nucleotides) under Amborella trichopoda. RNAcentral's name for it is "long non-coding RNA (ATRI_LNC000448)". The record is from RNAcentral. Lineage: Eukaryota; Viridiplantae; Streptophyta; Magnoliopsida; Amborellales; Amborellaceae.
UAUUUUGAGGACUUGAAAUCUUUUUUUUCUUCAUAUCCACACAUCUUGAUAUCGAAAUGAUCAAUUAAAUUUUUUUUCAACCUUAAAACAGCCUUUUACGAAGGAGUUUUUAGGUGCAUUGAGAUUCUAAUUUUUAAAGUGUCAACCUUAUAUAGAUUGUUUCCUUAAAGAAAUACAUGAGUUUGAACUUUUUUUAAUUAUUUUUUUGAGAAAAGAAUUGAGUUCAACGAACAUAAUUUUCUUCAAACAAAAUAUGGGAGCAUUCUUUGCUAAAAAAAAAUGUUUGGGUUCGGCCAGGGUAUGGCUAGGAUAUUUUGGGAAAAUUUCAAUGCCAACUAGGGAC